AAUGAACGCUGGCGGCAUGCCUAACACAUGCAAGUCGAACGAGACCUUCGGGUCCUUUGUCGCCUGGGUUUGUAACGCGUCGGUACCUUCACUCAUGUUCGGCCUACCUCUGAGACUUUUGUACUUUUACGGGACCGUGUCUACUACCCAAUGAUUUAUUGCCCUUAGAUGUUCCCUAGUUGGAUAAGCUAGUUGGUUGGGUAAUGGCCUACCACGGCGACGAUCCAUAGCUGGUAUGAGAGGAUGAUCAGCCACACUGCGACUGAGACACGGCCUAGACUCCUACGGGAGGCAGCAGUGGGGAAUAUUGGACAAUGGGCGAAAGCCUGAUCCAGCAAUGCCGGGUGAGUGAUGAAGGCCUUAGGGUUGUAAAGCUCUUUUACCCGAGAUGAUAAUGACAGUAUCGGGAGAAUAAGCUCCGGCUAACUCCGUG
This 433-nucleotide ribosomal RNA is filed under the name uncultured bacterium. RNAcentral's name for it is "partial 16S ribosomal RNA". It matches the Rfam family "Bacterial small subunit ribosomal RNA", at positions 29 to 507 of the family's 1533-position model. The record is from RNAcentral.